GAUGAACGCUGGCGGCGUGCCUAAUACAUGCAAGUCGAGCGAACAGACGAGGAGCUUGCUCCUCUGACGUUAGCGGCGGACGGGUGAGUAACACGUGGAUAACCUACCUAUAAGACUGGGAUAACUUCGGGAAACCGGAGCUAAUACCGGAUAAUAUAUUGAACCGCAUGGUUCAAUAGUGAAAGACGGUUUUGCUGUCACUUAUAGAUGGAUCCGCGCCGCAUUAGCUAGUUGGUAAGGUAACGGCUUACCAAGGCAACGAUGCGUAGCCGACCUGAAAGGGUGAUUGGCCACACGGGAACUGAGACAGGUCCCAGACUCCUACGGGAGGCAGCAGUAGGGAAUCUUCCGCAAUGGGGGAAAGCCUGACGGAGCAACGCCGCGUGAGUGAUGAAGGUCUUCGGAUCGGAAAACGCUGUUAUUAGGGAAGAACAAAUGUGUAAGUAACUAUGCACGUCUUGACGGUACCUAAUCAGAAAGCCACGGCUAACUACGUG
RNAcentral lists this ribosomal RNA (497 nucleotides) under uncultured bacterium. Its description in RNAcentral is "partial 16S ribosomal RNA". It matches the Rfam family "Bacterial small subunit ribosomal RNA", at positions 28 to 507 of the family's 1533-position model. The record is from RNAcentral.